GACGAACGCUGGCGGCGUGCUUAACACAUGCAAGUCGAACGAAGAGCGAUGGAAGCUUGCUUCUAUCAAUCUUAGUGGCGAACGGGUGAGUAACGCGUAAUCAACCUGCCCUUCAGAGGGGGACAACAGUUGGAAACGACUGCUAAUACCGCAUACGAUCUAACCUCGGCAUCGAGGAAAGAUGAAAGGUGGCCUCUAUUUAUAAGCUAUCACUGAAGGAGGGGAUUGUGUCUGAUUAGCUAGUUGGAGGGGUAACGGCCCACCAAGGCGAUGAUCAGUAGCCGGUCUGAGAGGAUGAACGGCCACAUUGGGACUGAGACACGGCCCAGACUCCUACGGGAGGCAGCAGUGGGGAAUCUUCCGCAAUGGACGAAAGUCUGACGGAGCAACGCCGCGUGAGUGAUGACGGCCUUCGGGUUGUAAAGCUCUGUUAAUCGGGACGAAAGGCCUUCUUGCGAACAGUUAAAAGGAUUGACGGUACCGGAAUAGAAAGCCACGGCUAACUACGUGCCAGCAGCCGCGGUAAUACGUAGGUGGCAAGCGUUGUCCGGAAUUAUUGGGCGUAAAGAGCUCGUAGGCGGCUGGUCGCGUCUGUCGUGAAAUCCUCUGGCCUAACUGGGGGCGUGCGGUGGGUACGGGCCGGCUUGAGUGCGGUAGGGGAGGCUGGAAUUCCUGGUGUAGCGGUGAAAUGCGUAGAUAUUAGGAAGAACACCAGUGGCGAAGGCGACUUUCUGGACGAAAACUGACGCUGAGGCGCGAAAGCCAGGGGAGCGAACGGGAUUAGAUACCCCGGUAGUCCUGGCCGUAAACGAUGGGGUACUAGGUGUAGGGAGGUAUCGACCCCUUCUGUGCCGGAGUUAACCCAAUAAAGUACCCCGCCCUGGGGAGUACAACCGCAAGGUUGAAAACUCAAGGAAUUGACGGGGGCCCGCACAAGC
RNAcentral lists this ribosomal RNA (938 nucleotides) under Veillonella sp. oral taxon G30. Its description in RNAcentral is "bacterial SSU rRNA". It matches the Rfam family "Bacterial small subunit ribosomal RNA", at positions 28 to 930 of the family's 1533-position model. Lineage: Bacteria; Bacillati; Bacillota; Negativicutes; Veillonellales; Veillonellaceae. The record is from RNAcentral.